Molecule: long non-coding RNA, 283 nt
Organism: Bufo bufo (common toad)
Lineage: Eukaryota; Metazoa; Chordata; Amphibia; Anura; Bufonidae
Exons: 3
Source: RefSeq, a predicted model, not a curated record
UGGGAAUCGAGUGUCACUGUCUCCCUGACUGAGAUAUCUUCCAUAGCGGGCUCCAUCCUAGGUCUGUGUGAUCCAGCCAUGACUUAUUACUUGAGCUCCUCGGCUGCUGAUGGCUCUGCCGUGUUCCAGCUCCUGCCUCCUGGAGUUGUGAAUUCCAGUUUCCAGGAUUCUUACAUCUCAUAUGGAUUUCCAGUUCAUGAGAAUGAGCAUAAGUGGAGUCAUCCCUUGUGGAAGAACCCAAUGAACCAGGAGGUUCCAUGUGGUGCAGACAUAGCAGGUAUAU